RNAcentral lists this ribosomal RNA (227 nucleotides) under uncultured bacterium. RNAcentral's name for it is "partial 16S ribosomal RNA". It matches the Rfam family "Bacterial small subunit ribosomal RNA", at positions 109 to 334 of the family's 1533-position model. The record is from RNAcentral.
AGUAACACGUGAGUAACCUGCCCCAAGUGGGGGGACAACAGUUGGAAACGACUGCUAAUACCGCAUAAGCCCACGGAACCGCAUGGUUCAGAGGGAAAAGGAGCAAUUCGCUUUGGGAUGGACUCGCGUCCGAUUAGCUAGAUGGUGAGGUAACGGCCCACCAUGGCGACGAUCGGUAGCCGGACUGAGAGGUUGAUCGGCCACAUUGGGACUGAGACACGGCCCAG